AAAGGCUUUAGCUUAAUUAAAGUGUCUGGUUUGCAUUCAUAAUAUGUGGGGUAAAGUCCCGCAAGUCUU
This 69-nucleotide transfer RNA is filed under the name Cobitis sinensis (Siberian spiny loach). RNAcentral's name for it is "tRNA-Ala". It matches the Rfam family "tRNA". Rfam says of the family: Transfer RNA (tRNA) molecules are approximately 80 nucleotides in length. Their secondary structure includes four short double-helical elements and three loops (D, anti-codon, and T loops). Further hydrogen bonds mediate the characteristic L-shaped molecular structure. tRNAs have two regions of fundamental functional importance: the anti-codon, which is responsible for specific mRNA codon recognition, and the 3' end, to which the tRNAs corresponding amino acid is attached (by aminoacyl-tRNA synthetases). tRNAs cope with the degeneracy of the genetic code in two manners: having more than one tRNA (with a specific anti-codon) for a particular amino acid; and 'wobble' base-pairing, i.e. permitting non-standard base-pairing at the 3rd anti-codon position. The record is from RNAcentral. Lineage: Eukaryota; Metazoa; Chordata; Actinopteri; Cypriniformes; Cobitidae.